Molecule: transfer RNA, 85 nt
Filed under: Felis catus (domestic cat)
Lineage: Eukaryota; Metazoa; Chordata; Mammalia; Carnivora; Felidae
Also listed under: 1 other name
Rfam family: tRNA
About the family: Transfer RNA (tRNA) molecules are approximately 80 nucleotides in length.
Source: Rfam by way of RNAcentral
GCCUGAGUGGCUUAGUCGGCUAAGCAUCUGACUUCAGCUCAGGUCAUGGUCUCAUGGUUUGUGAGUUCAACCCCCAUGUCGGGCU